CAGUAGCCGCGGGAAUACAGAGGGUGCGAGCGUUAAUCGGAUUUACUGGGCGUAAAGCGUGCGUAGGCGGCUUCUUAAGUCGGAUGUGAAAUCCCUGAGCUUAACUUAGGAAUUGCAUUCGAUACUGGGAAGCUAGAGUAUGGGAGAGGAUGGUAGAAUUCCAGGUGUAGCGGUGAAAUGCGUAGAGAUCUGGAGGAAUACCGAUGGCGAAGGCAGCCAUCUGGCCUAAUACUGACGCUGAGGUACGAAAGCAUGGGGAGCAAACAGUAUUAGAUACCCCAGUAGUCCCUGUCUCUUAUAC
This 301-nucleotide ribosomal RNA is filed under the name uncultured bacterium. RNAcentral describes it as "partial 16S ribosomal RNA". It matches the Rfam family "Bacterial small subunit ribosomal RNA", at positions 509 to 807 of the family's 1533-position model. The record is from RNAcentral.